UGGGAAAGAGCAGUGUAGGCCCUAGUCAACGACAGCCAACGAACGCACAGCAUCGACUACGAGAUGGUGAACUUGGCAAGCGGUUGCUACUACUCGCGUGGAUUUGGCACCGAAAUGUCCUGCUGCUUUUGCCGAAUCGAUUUUCCCGACCAAACAAA
Long non-coding RNA from Anopheles gambiae (African malaria mosquito), 158 nucleotides. RefSeq lists it as uncharacterized. Lineage: Eukaryota; Metazoa; Arthropoda; Insecta; Diptera; Culicidae. The transcript has 2 exons. The record is from RefSeq and is a predicted model, not a curated record.